CAGCCACCGCGGUAAUACGGAGGGUGCAAGCGUUAAUCGGAAUUACUGGGCGUAAAGCGCACGCAGGCGGUCUGACAAGUCAGAUGUGAAAUCCCCGGGCUUAACCUGGGAACUGCAUUUGAAACUGUCAGGCUGGAGUCUUGUAGAGGGGGGUGGAAUUCCAGGUGUAGCGGUGAAAUGCGUAGAGAUCUGGAGGAAUACCGGUGGCGAAGGCGGCCCCCUGGACAAAGACUGACGCUCAGGUGCGAAAGCGUGGGGAGCAAACAGGAUUAGAUACCCGUGUAGUCCCUGUCUCUUAUAC
RNAcentral lists this ribosomal RNA (301 nucleotides) under uncultured bacterium. RNAcentral's name for it is "partial 16S ribosomal RNA". It matches the Rfam family "Bacterial small subunit ribosomal RNA", at positions 509 to 807 of the family's 1533-position model. The record is from RNAcentral.